This is a long non-coding RNA of Cavia porcellus (domestic guinea pig), 1626 nucleotides long. RefSeq lists it as uncharacterized. NCBI's taxonomy places the organism in Eukaryota, Metazoa, Chordata, Mammalia, Rodentia, Caviidae. The transcript is spliced from 5 exons. The record is from RefSeq and is a predicted model, not a curated record.
AUCUUGCAAGGAGCUGAGCAUGAAAGACACUCCAGCCCUGAAGCUGAUAGGACAGAGGAAGGCGGAAGUGCUGUGGAGGUUUUUAGAAGGCCCUCAACGGCUGUGACACAGAUAAACUCUUCUUUGGACAAGGAACCCGCUUGACUGUGGAACCAAGAAUUCAGCCUCCUUCCAAACCAUCUGUUUUUGUCAUGAAAAAUGGAACAAAAGUUGCUUGUCUGGUGAAGGAUUUCUAUCCCAAGAACAUAAAUAUAAAUCUCGUAUCAUCUAAUAAGGUAAAGGAAUUUGAACCUGCGGUUGUCGUCUCUCCCAGCGGGAAGUACAGUGCUGUCAAGCUUGGUCAGUACGAAGAUCCAAAUUCAGUAACAUGUUCAGUUCAGCUCAACAAUGAAACCGUGAGUUCCACUGACUUCGAAGUGAAGACAACUUCAUCAGACUUUCGAACACAAACUGAACCUGCAAACAGGAACCAACCUGAAAAGACCUGCCAUGAACCAAAAGUUUAUAUCCCGACGAUGAACAUGAUGUCUCUCACAGUGCUGGGGCUGCGAAUGCUGUUUGUCAAGAGCGUGGCCAUAAAUUUUGUCUUGACUGCCAAGCUAUUUUUCUUUUAAGAUUGACUGGCAUGAGGAAGCUACGCUCACUGGUGGAAAUCAAAAGCAUAAAAGAUGCUGUCUCCUAGGCUUCUGAUUUCUUGGUGAUUCAGGUCGACCUGUCACCACCUUAUUUAAAUCAGUUUCCCACUGAAGACAACAAACCCAGCUCAUCUUUCAAUCUGGUAGAAAACAAAUGUCCUUGGCAAUGGGGGUUAUGAUUCUAACUACUUUAUAUGCUGUUUUAUGCAGGGAUGAAUAGACAUAAAAAUAUAGGGCCUAUUUUAUUAUAUUCCUACAACUGAUACACAGUGAAAAAUAAUACAUCAUUAUUUUUCACUCUUUCUUUCCAAAAGUAGCAAGUUGGAGCUAACAGGUCCCUGCUUCAAUGUCUAUAAUGAAAGUUGGCCCUGAGAGGAGGAGAGCAGGUGUCCUUUUAUCUACACACGGCAGGUUCUGCCCAAACCAGCACUAGUUUCACCCAAGAAGCCAUCCUCAUCUUCUCUCGUGCGGCUCAUCCAACCUCUGCAUUCAUUCCAGCAGCCACUGGAGAUAUUACACAGCAGUGAGGGGACAGGGACAAUGUUGGUGCUUUCCUCUUUUCCUGAUACUUUACAAAAUUAUACUCUUUAAGCAGGCAACGGGGUUUCUCAAAUCUCACUAGCACUUGUCCUUUCCGUUAGCAAAGAUCAGAGCAAAAUACAGAGGAAAAGCACUUGUUUCUGCUAAUUGUUUUAACAUUCAUGGACUGACUCUGAGUCCCAGGCACUGUACUGAGGUACGAAGAUGAGAAGGACAUAGGUCCUGCUUUUAAGCAUCUCACUGUGCAAGCAUUUUUUAGAGGGAAAGAAAUGAGGCUUCUAUUUUUCCCUGUAAAAAACAGUAUCUUUAUUGUCUUUUGCCUGCCAAUCUGUAUGGAGGGAGUUAGAGAUCAUUGGACACUGAUGCUUUUGCUUGGGUCUUUGAUGUGUUGGGCCCUCUUUCUUAGCCCCUGUCUCUGUUGCAUUUAUUAAACCGCACUGUGUGCACCUUG